Small nucleolar RNA from Papaver somniferum (opium poppy), 91 nucleotides. NCBI's taxonomy places the organism in Eukaryota, Viridiplantae, Streptophyta, Magnoliopsida, Ranunculales, Papaveraceae. The record is from RefSeq and is a predicted model, not a curated record.
CAGGCGCAAAUGAGGAAAUUCUAUUGGUAAAUAGGUAAUGUGCGUCUGAAUGCUUCAUUGAUGUUAACACCUUGGAGACUUGAUGCCCUAA